This is a long non-coding RNA of Myxocyprinus asiaticus (Chinese sucker), 730 nucleotides long. RefSeq lists it as uncharacterized. The transcript is spliced from 2 exons. The record is from RefSeq and is a predicted model, not a curated record. Lineage: Eukaryota; Metazoa; Chordata; Actinopteri; Cypriniformes; Catostomidae.
CUGAGAAAGGAAAUAGUGCUGCACACUGGGUGUCUGCACAUGUGUGGACAUUAGCAUUAACAAGCCGGGGGUAAAAAAGAACAAAUGCGAGAAAGACAAGCGUGAGGCAGUGACUGUUAUACCUCUUCCUGUGUGGUUUAGUAACACGUGGUUGGCGAGGAGGUUAAAUAGAAGCACUUCUCCUCUUGUAGGCCCAUUUCUACUUGGGCAGAAGAGGAAGACGAUAAAGACUCGGGUAAGACCACUGGAGAUGAAACUCUCUGAAGGGAUGAUGGCAAACAUGGCAAUACUGGGCUUGACUUAUCGAGGACCUCCAGACAAGACGUGGACCUGGACACCUGGACAUUGGGAUGUACAGUGCAGUCAUCCAUAAAGUAGAAAGCACUACUAAACCCCUCGCCACAGUGUAGUGUUUCCUACUUUAUGGAUGAGUGUACUGUUGGCUGCUGGGAGAACUUCGAAAGUCAAGAUGUUCAACACAGAACGGAAGGGAAAAAGAGGAACUUGCUUUGUUUCAUAAAGCCGUGCACAUCUCAUGGUGUCAAUGUUAGUCCACGUGAGAUGGCUGUACGCUUACAGAAACGAAAGCAAGGUUUCUCUGAAUAUCCUCUGUGAGGACGAGCUUGUUGAUGUCACUCAUUGGACUGAUUGUAGAGAUGUUUCAGAGGCAUUUGUUAUAAUUCAUGUUGUUACAUUUCAAUAAAAUGAAAAAGAUGCAUUCCAUCAAAAA